CUGGCGGCGUGCCUAACACAUGCAAGUCGAGCGGCAGCGCGGGGGCAACCCUGGCGGCGAGCGGCGGACGGGUGAGCAAAAUUUGGGAAUCUGCCUAUUAGUGGGGGACAACCCAGGGAAACACGGGCUAAUACCGCAUACGCACUACGGGGGAAAAGCCGGGGACCGCAAGGCCUGGAGCUAAUAGAUGAGCCCAAAUCGGAUUAGCUAGUUGGUGAGGUAAUGGCUCAACAAGGCAACGAUCCGUAGCUGGUCAGAGAGGACGACCAGCCACACCGGAACUGAGACAGGGUCCGGACUCCUACGGGAGGCAGCAGUGGGGCUAUUGGACAAUAGCCGAAAGCCUGAUCCAGCGACGCCGCGUGGGUGAAGAAGGCCGGCGGGUUGUAAAGCCCUACGGUGGGGAAGAAAAGCCUCGACCUAACACGUCGGGGUCUUGACGUAACCCAUAGAAGAAGCACCGACUAACUCUGUGCCAGCAGCAGCGGUAAUACAGAGGGUGCGAGCGUUAAUCGGAAUUACUGGGCGUAAAGCGCGAGUAGGCGGCUUUGCAAGUCGGAUGUGAAAUCCCCAGGCUUAACCUGGGAACUGCAUUCGAGACUGCAUUGCUAGAGUAUGGGAU
This 622-nucleotide ribosomal RNA is filed under the name uncultured bacterium. RNAcentral's name for it is "bacterial SSU rRNA". It matches the Rfam family "Bacterial small subunit ribosomal RNA", at positions 36 to 654 of the family's 1533-position model. The record is from RNAcentral.